CGGAAUCACAUAAGUUUGAUACAAUUGUUUCUGGUUUGUUAUCUUUGGUUAUAAUGCCAAUUCUAGCAGUUGAAGAAUUAUCAGUUGAUGGGUCUAGUGAUGGUAGUGGAGCACAAAAGAUUCCUGAAUUCAGACAGAAGUUAAAGCCUCUCAUUGACGAACAGUAGAGAACAUUUAAUUUCUUCUUAAAGAUUCGGCUCACGGGGC
This 207-nucleotide long non-coding RNA is filed under the name Capsella rubella. Its description in RNAcentral is "long non-coding RNA (CRUB_LNC001844)". Lineage: Eukaryota; Viridiplantae; Streptophyta; Magnoliopsida; Brassicales; Brassicaceae. The record is from RNAcentral.